GAUAGGAUGGUUCUGAACGAUACAAUACAAAUGGAUGCUUCGUUGUAUGAAUGGGACGUUACAUGGUUUUAUUUGGUUGUUUGAAUAGGACGAUACAUGAUGAUACACGAUCAUGUUUGGUUAUCUAAAUGAAUCAGGUAUGGUAAUUACCUCAAUAUUAUAAGUGUUAUUGUUUCCCAAGUGGCUGAAAUGUCUUAAGUGUUGGAUAUGUUACCAAAAUAGCCAUGUUGAGGUGUGUGGAUUUUUGGAUUUUAGCUAAACACUCAAAAUUUGGACAACAUGAAAGUUGGAGUAGAAAUUAUACACAUUGUCAUGGAAGGAUCAUGG
This 327-nucleotide long non-coding RNA is filed under the name Setaria viridis. Its description in RNAcentral is "long non-coding RNA (SVIR_LNC008582)". Lineage: Eukaryota; Viridiplantae; Streptophyta; Magnoliopsida; Poales; Poaceae. The record is from RNAcentral.